ACAAAAACAAAUCCGAGUUUUAGGGUUUCUUUUCCUCAAAAUUUUGAUUUCUUUGUUACUUCUCUGUCGAUUCGUUUCUAUCCCAUUCUCCGUUUCAAAUCCAGAAACUAGGGUUUCGCAAUGGCGACAGCGACAAGUCAGGGUCGUGAUCCGCUGUUCGUGUCAUCAAAAUCUAUUCGCGCAGCAGAAAUAAAGAUUAGGUUUGCGGAUAUCAUUGUCAAGUCGAGUAGUAACAAGCCUGAGGCAAUGAUGAAGAUGAGAAGAGAGAAGCAGAGGAAGCUUCUUCAAGAAGAAAAAGCAAGAAUGAGAAUGAGACAAGAGGCAAGGCUUGCGGUGCUGAAGGUGGAAGAAGAAGAAGCAAGAUCCGAUUGUAGAUCUGAGGGAUGACAAACUGUUCUUGAUUGACCACCAUGUUACAAGUGCUCAGAUAUCCAAAGGAAUCAGAGCAUAUCACUCUUGCAUAGUAGACAUGAAUAUCGUAAGCAAGAGAAAGUUUGUGAAAGGGCCAAUGAUAUAAGAGAGACGAAGCAAGCAACAUCUAAGAUGAGAAGGAGAUAAGAGUGUGAACCAUUGCUGAUGAGUUCUGAUCUGGUGUUUAAUAAGACACCAAAAUAUUUAAUAAGCAAAUUGAUUGAUGUUUAGUUUUAAUUUUAUUAAUUUAUAAUUUUAGAUAUGUUAUAUCUAGUCGGUUUUAU
RNA transcript from Raphanus sativus (radish), 695 nucleotides. RefSeq lists it as uncharacterized. NCBI's taxonomy places the organism in Eukaryota, Viridiplantae, Streptophyta, Magnoliopsida, Brassicales, Brassicaceae. The transcript is spliced from 4 exons. The record is from RefSeq and is a predicted model, not a curated record.